AGGGUUGAGGUUUGAGGGUUAGCUGAAGGUUCCGGGGGUGAGGGUUGAGGUUUGAGGGUUAGCUGAAGGUUCCGGGGGUGAGGGUUGAGGUUUGAGUGUUAGCUGAAGGUUCCGGGGGUGAGGGUUGAGUGUUAAAUGAAGGUUCCGGGGGUGAGGCUUGAGGUUUGAGUGUUAGCUGAAGGUUCCGGGGGUGAGGGUUGAGUGUUAAAUGAAGGUUCCGG
Salmo salar (Atlantic salmon) is the source of this 221-nucleotide non-coding RNA. The record is from RefSeq and is a predicted model, not a curated record. NCBI's taxonomy places the organism in Eukaryota, Metazoa, Chordata, Actinopteri, Salmoniformes, Salmonidae.